Molecule: small RNA, 1734 nt
Filed under: Pongo abelii (Sumatran orangutan)
Lineage: Eukaryota; Metazoa; Chordata; Mammalia; Primates; Hominidae
Description: processed transcript
Source: RNAcentral
GUCUGCCUCUGCAGUGCGUCCUCUGGGGCUGCUUGCUGACCGCUGUCCAUCCAGAACCACCCACUGCAUGCAGAGAAAAACAGUACCUAAUAAACAGUCAGUGCUGUUCUUUGUGCCAGCCAGGACAGAAACUGGUGAGUGACUGCACAGAGUUCACCGAAACAGAAUGCCUUCCUUGCGGUGAAAGCGAAUUCCUAGACACCUGGAACAGAGAGACACGCUGCCACCAGCACAAAUACUGCGACCCCAACCUAGGGCUUCGGGUCCAGCAGAAGGGCACCUCAGAAACAGACACCAUCUGCACCUGUGAAGAAGGCCGGCACUGUACGAGUGAGGCCUGUGAGAGCUGUGUUCUGCACCGCUCAUGCUCACCCGGCUUUGGGGUCAAGCGUAUUGCUACAGGGAUUUCUGAUACCAUCUGCGAGCCCUGCCCAGUCGGCUUCUUCUCCAAUGUGUCAUCUGCUUUCGAAAAAUGUCACCCUUGGACAAGCUGUGAGACCAAAGACCUGGUUGUGCAACAGGCAGGCACAAACAAGACUGAUGUUGUCUGUGGGCUGGGACUAGAAUGAGGUGAGCAAGGCACUUUCCCUCGGGUGCAAUAUUUAAGAAGGUGCCAUAAAAGUGUAGUAAUCAAGGUCCCCAGGAUCGGCUGAGAGCCCUGGUGGUGAUCCCCAUCAUCUUCGGGAUCCUGUUUGCCAUCCUCUUGGUGCUGGUCUUUAUCAAAAAGGUGGCCAAGAAGCCAACCAAUAAGGCCCCCCACCCCAAGCAGGAACCCCAGGAGAUCAAUUUUCCCGACGACCUUCCUGGCUCCAACACUGGCGCUCCAGUGCAGGAGACUUUACAUGGAUGCCAACCGGUCACCCAGGAGGAUGGCAAAGAGAGUCGCAUCUCAGUGCAGGAGAGACAGUGAGGCUGCACGCACCCAGGAGUGUGGCCACGUGGGCAAACAGGCACUUGGCCAGAGAGCCUGGUGCUGCUGCUGCUGUGGCGUGAGGGUGAGGGGCUGGCACUGACUGGGCAUAGCUCCCCCCUUCCGCCUGCAUCCCUGCAGUUUGAGACAGGAGACCUGGCACCGGAUGCAGAAACAGUUCACCUUGAAGAACCUCUCACUUCACCCUGGAGCCCAUCCAGUCUCCCAGCUUGUAUCAAAGACAGAGGCAGAAGUUUGGUGGUGGUGGUGGGGGGGUAUGGUUUAGUAAUAUCCACCAGACCUUCCGAUCCAGCAGUUUGGUGCCCAGAGAGGCAUCAUGGUGGCUUCCCUGCGCCCAGGAAGCCAUAUACACAGAUGCCCGUUGCAGCAUUGUUUGUGAUAGUGAACAACUGGAAGCUGCUUAACUGUCCAUCAGCAGGAGACUGGCUAAAUAAAAUUAGAAUAUAUUUAUACAACAGAAUCUCAAAAACACUGUCGAGUAAGGAAAAAAAAGCAUGCUGCUGAAUGAUGGGUAUGGAACCUUUUUAAAAAAGUACAUGCUUUUAUGUAUGUAUAUUGCCUGUGGAUAUAUGUAUAAAUACAAUAUGCAUCAUAUAUUGAUAUAACAAGGGUUCUGGAAGGGUACACAGAAAACCCACAGCUCGAAGAGUGGUGACAUCUGGGGUGGGGAAGAAGGGUCUGGGGGAGGGUUGGUUAAAGGGAGAUUUGGCUUUCCCAUAAUGCUUCAUCAUUUUUCCCAAAAGGAGAGUGAAUUCACAUAAUGCUUAUGUAAUUAAAAAAUCAUCAAACAUGUAGAAAGAAAA